CCCUACGGGGCGCAGCAGUCGGGAAUAUUGCGCAAUGGAGGAAACUCUGACGCAGUGACGCCGCGUAUAGGAAGAAGGUUUUCGGAUUGUAAACUAUUGUCGCUAGGGAAGAGAAAGGACAGUACCUAAGGAGGAAGCUCCGGCUAACUACGUGCCAGCAGCCGCGGUAAUACGUAGGGAGCGAGCGUUAUCCGGAAUUAUUGGGUGUAAAGGGUGCGUAGACGGAGAAACAAGUUGGUUGUGAAAUCCCUCGGCUCAACUGAGGAACUGCAACCAAAACUAUUUCCCUUGAGUGUCGGAGAGGA
Molecule: ribosomal RNA, 305 nt
Filed under: uncultured bacterium
Lineage: Bacteria
Description: bacterial SSU rRNA
Rfam family: Bacterial small subunit ribosomal RNA
Source: RNAcentral